UUGCUAGAAGAUGACGAGCGGCGGACGGGUGAGUAACGCGUAGGAAUCUGCCUAGUAGUGGGGGACAACAUGUGGAAACGCAUGCUAAUACCGCAUACGCCCUACGGGGGAAAGGAGGGGAUCUUCGGACCUUUCGCUAUUAGAUGAGCCUGCGUGAGAUUAGCUAGUUGGUGGGGUAAAGGCCUACCAAGGCGACGAUCUCUAGCUGGUCUGAGAGGAUGAUCAGCCACACUGGGACUGAGACACGGCCCAGACUCCUACGGGAGGCAGCAGUGGGGAAUAUUGGACAAUGGGCGCAAGCCUGAUCCAGCCAUGCCGCGUGUGUGAAGAAGGCCUUAGGGUUGUAAAGCACUUUCAGGAGUGAGGAAGGGUGUAUGGUUAAUACCCGUAUAUUUUGACGUUAACUCCAGAAGAAGCACCGGCUAACUCUGUGCCAGCAGCCGCGGUAAUACAGAGGGUGCGAGCGUUAAUCGGAAUUACUGGGCGUAAAGCGCGCGUAGGCGGUUUGUUAAGUCGGAUGUGAAAUCCCAGGGCUCAACCUUGGAAUGGCACCCGAUACUGGCAGGCUAGAGUACGGUAGAGGGGUGUGGAAUUUCCUG
This 599-nucleotide ribosomal RNA is filed under the name Marinomonas communis. Its description in RNAcentral is "bacterial SSU rRNA". It matches the Rfam family "Bacterial small subunit ribosomal RNA", at positions 77 to 673 of the family's 1533-position model. Lineage: Bacteria; Pseudomonadati; Pseudomonadota; Gammaproteobacteria; Oceanospirillales; Oceanospirillaceae. The record is from RNAcentral.